GUAAUGGAUGGCAUUGACGGGGUGGGCCGAAAGGCCAGCGCCGAGACUAUAAUAUUAUUUCUGGUUUCAGGUGCUGUUGGAUCCGAUGAAUCGAUCAUACAAUCACCGAAACAGAUCACAGUUACUGAAGGCGGGACUGUGCGGCUAAACUGUGCAUUUGUUGGCGACACAAGCAGUUCAAUUGGGGUCCAUUAGUUGGUACAAAGACGUGGAAACUCGUGCCGUUUCCAACACGAGCGGCGACUAUUAUGGCCGCGUUCUGAAAAAUAAUUCACAGGGAAUUCUAAAAGAAUCCAUCGAAAUCACUGACCUCAAAAUGAACGAUACAGGAAGGUAUUACUGCCGAUGGAGUGGUUUCACAGGGGAAAUAUAUAAUGGUCACGGCACAGAUGUCACGGUCACACGCCGGAUCCCUGUAGAAAGCCCUGCAUGGGGAUUACGUUGGCAGCUGCUGGUAAUGGGAGUGAAACUUGCAACGUUCAUUGUGAUCAACGUUAUAAUAGUUUUCAUCAUCCGCUCAUGGGAGUCUUGUGGAUUUGCCAGCCGGACAAAAGAAGCCUAACAGGCUGGUCAAACGACCAUAAGUGUUGAACUCCCUACAUAUUUGAAUCAACUCAUCCAACAGAUCAAACCAUGAAAAGCAAACUCAUUACUGAAUCAACAUUAGCUCAGUCAGCUGUGCUGAUACUGUUGUGGGCCAUUUGGGAUAAUGUCAUUUGUGAAAUCUUACACUCAUUAAAACUCCACAUUGCCUUCUUGUUUGUUCGUUCCUGCCAACAACAGAUUCAAGUCAGAGUGGUUACAUUUCAAACGCAGACCAUUAGACAAUAGACAAUAGACAAUAUUUGGUCUACAGUGUACAAGCCCAGCCGCUCCAUUCUCUCAGCAUAUGACAGUCCCGCCAUCCCGGGAAUUAACCUUGUAAACCUACGCUGCACUCCCUCAAUAGCAAGAAUGUCCUUCCUCAAAUUAGGGGACCAAAACUGCGGAUAAUACUCCAGGUGUGGUCUCACUAGGGCCCUGUACAACUGCAGAAGGACCUCUUUGCUCCUAUACUCACCUCCUCUUGUUAUAAGGGCCUACAUGCCAUUCGCUUUCUUCACUGCCUGCUGCACCUGCAUGCCCACUUUCAUUGACUGAUGAACAAGGACCCCCCAGAUCCUGCUGCACCCCCCCAAGCGGCGAUACCCUGUGAAGAAGCGUCUUCACCUGAAACCUCACCCAUUCCUUUUCUCCAGAGAUGCUGCCUGACCCGCGGAGUUACUCCAGCUUUUUGUAUCUAUUUUCGGACAGUCCUCUUGUGUUCCAUUUGCCUGAUGGAUCUCCCGGUUUCAAACCAUUUUAACUCUCCUUCCCAUUCCCACACCGACCCCUCUGCCCUGAGUCUCCUCCAUUGCCUGAGUGAGGCCAUUGGAGAAACAUGACCUCAUUCUCCAUCUCGGUAGCUUAGAACCCAAUAUUGAACUGUGAAUUUUCUAAUGUCAGAUCACGCCAGUUCAGGCGACAGUUCGAGCUCGACGAACGAAUCUUCGACACCAAGGUGUCUCGGCCACAAGAUGGCGCCACAAUGGUGUGAUUUGACAGAGAUUGUUACAGGUUGUAAUAAUAGACCAAUAAUGACACUUUGUUAAUAGGAUCUUGUUCAUGUUCUUUAUAUAAUUACAACAAUUUAUCGCUCAAUGAUGUGCGCUGGAAAGUUAUUAAAAGUCCUGCUGUAUCCGAAACUGUAAUAAGUCUCUUCUGUUACAUGGAUGCCCAUUCUACCGGUAUAUACACGUAUGUGUCUCAUAAGGUCAUAAGGUCAUAAGGUCAUAAGUGAUAGGAGCAGAAUUAGGCCAUUUGGUCCAUCAAGUCUACUCCACCAUUCAAUCUUGGCUGAUCUAUAUCUCCCUCCUAACCCCAUUCUCCUGCCUUCUCCCCAUUCCUCUAACACCUGUACUAAUCAAUAAUCUAUCUAUCUUUGCCUUACAAAUAUCCACUGAUUUGACAUCCACAACCUUCUGUGGCAAAUAAUUCCACAGAUUCACCACCCUCUGACUAAAUAAAUUCCUCCCCAUCUCCUUCCGAAAAGAACCUCCUUUAAUUCUGAGGCUAUGACCUCGAGUCCUAGACUCUCUGGUUAGUGGAAUAAUCCUCUCCACAUCCACUCUAUCCAAGCCUUUCACUAUUCAGUAAAUGUCAAUGAGAUAUCCUCUCAUCCUUCUAAAUUCCUGCUGGUACAGGCCCAGUGCCGUCAAACGCUCAUCAUAUGUUAACCCACUCAAUCCUGGGAUCAUUCUUGUAAAUCUCCUCUGGGCCCUCUCCAGAGCCAGCACAUCCUUCCUCAGAUAUUGGUCUUGUAGAAUCCUACAGCUCCUCUCCUUGGCGUUCACUGCAACCCGAUCUCAGAUAAAACAUUUCCAAUCUCCGCAAUGUGUUAACAAACAAUCUGAAAUAGUGUUUGAAAUAAACCCAAGGAAUAUACACAAGUAAAAGAUCACAGCAUCCCAACGGAGCAGCAGCAACUGUGGAGAACAUGGUUAUUACCGGAUGUCUGCAGAACAAAGCAUUUCACUGCAUCAAGGUACAUGUGAGAAUCAAGUAUCAUUAGGGCGGCCCGGUGGCGCAGCGGUAGAGUUGCUGCUUACAGCACUUUCAGCGGGAGAAA
This is a long non-coding RNA of Leucoraja erinaceus (little skate), 2647 nucleotides long. RefSeq lists it as uncharacterized. NCBI's taxonomy places the organism in Eukaryota, Metazoa, Chordata, Chondrichthyes, Rajiformes, Rajidae. The transcript has 3 exons. The record is from RefSeq and is a predicted model, not a curated record.